Molecule: ribosomal RNA, 351 nt
Filed under: Triticum aestivum (bread wheat)
Lineage: Eukaryota; Viridiplantae; Streptophyta; Magnoliopsida; Poales; Poaceae
Description: partial small subunit ribosomal RNA
Source: RNAcentral
AUGUUAAGGAGGUUCUUUAAAGGCUCUUCUAGCCAAAGCUCUAAGGAAAAACAAGACAAAGAGAAGAUGCUCUUUUAUAGACUUAGAUUCAAUAAGAAACACUUUGAGUAUAUUAUUUUGCUUGCGCCUCUGUUGUUUGAUCUGCUUGCAGAAAGUCGUCUUGUUACGCCGGAGGCCGUGAACAAUCAUCUAGCCCAAGCUUUUACUCCGGAACCUGAACCUGAGCCGGAACCUGAGCUAGACCCUUAUCGUGCAUCAUCUGUUCAGUGGGAUCCAGAGAUAACCAGCCAGUGGUAUCCUGAUUAUACCUCCCACUACACCAGGGAGAGUAGCGGCGGUCCUUGGUAUUAG